AGCCACUGACUAACGCACAUUGUGCUGUUGGCGACGCCACUGUGCGUGUGACAGCGGCUAA
RNAcentral lists this microRNA precursor (61 nucleotides) under Ornithorhynchus anatinus (platypus). RNAcentral describes it as "Oan-Mir-210_pre stem-loop". It matches the Rfam family "mir-210 microRNA precursor family", at positions 15 to 74 of the family's 96-position model. Lineage: Eukaryota; Metazoa; Chordata; Mammalia; Monotremata; Ornithorhynchidae. The record is from RNAcentral.